This 436-nucleotide ribosomal RNA is filed under the name uncultured bacterium. RNAcentral describes it as "bacterial SSU rRNA". It matches the Rfam family "Bacterial small subunit ribosomal RNA", at positions 28 to 507 of the family's 1533-position model. The record is from RNAcentral.
GAUGAACGCUGGCGGCACGCCUAACACAUGCAAGUCGAACGAAGUAGCAAUACUUAGUGGCAGACGGGUGAGUAACAUGUAGGUAUCUACCCUUUGGCCUGGAAUAACACGAGGAAACUUGUGCUAAUACCGGAUAAGUCUUUUGGGAGAAGCUUUUAUGCCACAUUGGAUGAGCCCGCAACUGAUUAGUUUGUUGGUGGGGUAAUGGCCUACCAAGACUGUGAUCAAUAGCUGAUUUGAGAGGAUGAUCAGCCACACUGGGACUGAGACACGGCCCAGACUCCUACGGGAGGCAGCAGUGGGGAAUUUUCCGCAAUGGGCGAAAGCCUGACGGAGCAACGCCGCGUGAGGGAUGAAGGCCUCUGGGCUGUAAACCUCUUUUAUCAAGGAAGAAGAUCUGACGGUACUUGAUGAAUAAGCCACGGCUAAUUCCGUG